This 379-nucleotide unclassified non-coding RNA is filed under the name plant metagenome. RNAcentral's name for it is "partial contains 5.8S ribosomal RNA, internal transcribed spacer 2, and large subunit ribosomal RNA". The stretch from base 1 to 105 matches the Rfam family "5.8S ribosomal RNA", at positions 50 to 154 of the family's 154-position model. The record is from RNAcentral.
GAAAUGCGAUAAGUAAUGUGAAUUGCAGAAUUCAGUGAAUCAUCGAAUCUUUGAACGCACCUUGCGCUCCUUGGUAUUCCUUGGAGCAUGCCUGUUUGAGUAUCAUGAAAUCUUCAAAGUAAAAUCUUUUGUUAACUCAAUUGGUUUCUACUUUGGUAUUGGAGGUCUUUGCAGCUUCACACCUGCUCCUCUUUGUUCAUUAGCUGGAUCUCAGUGUUAUGCUUGGUUCCACUCGGCGUGAUAAGUUAUCUAUCGCUGAGGACACUGUAAAAGGUGGCCAAGGUAAAUGCAGAUGAACCGCUUCUAAUAGUCCAUUGACUUGGACAAUACUUUUAUGAUCUGAUCUCAAAUCAGGUAGGACUACCCGCUGAACUUAAGC